AUAAUAAGUCUUUUCCGCGUUCUGACCGCUAAAAGCGACUGCUCUAAGCCAGUUCAUGCUGUCAGAACCUGAGUCUGAACCUUACAGACUCACAGGGUUAUGAUUGGAAACGAUAUAACCUUCACUUUUGAGAAGGAAAAGCUGCGGCAGAAGA
This 154-nucleotide non-coding RNA is filed under the name Desulfosporosinus meridiei. RNAcentral's name for it is "MoCo sequence". It matches the Rfam family "Molybdenum/Tungsten riboswitch aptamer (Moco RNA motif)". The record is from RNAcentral. Lineage: Bacteria; Bacillati; Bacillota; Clostridia; Eubacteriales; Desulfitobacteriaceae.